RNAcentral lists this ribosomal RNA (395 nucleotides) under uncultured bacterium. RNAcentral's name for it is "partial 16S ribosomal RNA". It matches the Rfam family "Bacterial small subunit ribosomal RNA", at positions 523 to 918 of the family's 1533-position model. The record is from RNAcentral.
AUACGUAGGGUGCAAGCGUUAAUCGGAAUUACUGGGCGUAAAGCGUGCGCAGGCGGUUCUGUAAGACAGUGGUGAAAUCCCCGGGCUCAACCUGGGGACUGCCAUUGUGACUGCAGGGCUGGAGUGCGGCCGAGGGGGAUGGAAUUCCGCGUGUAGCAGUGAAAUGCGUAGAUAUGCGGAGGAACACCGAUGGCGAAGGCAAUCCCCUGGGCCUGCACUGACGCUCAUGCACGAAAGCGUGGGGAGCAAACAGGAUUAGAUACCCUGGUAGUCCACGCCCUAAACGAUGUCAACUGGUUGUUGGGGAUUUAUUUUCUCAGUAACGAAGCUAACGCGUGAAGUUGACCGCCUGGGGAGUACGGCCGCAAGGUUAAAACUCAAAUGAAUUGACGGGG